GACGAACGCUGGCGGCGUGCUUAACACAUGCAAGUCGAACGGAAAGGCCCUGCUUUUGUGGGGUGCUCGAUUGGCGAACGGGGGAGUAACACGUGAGUAACCUGCCCUUGACUUUGGGAUAACUUCAGGAAACUGGGGCUAAUACCGGAUAGGAGCUCCUGCUGCGUGGUGGGGGUUGGAAAGUUUCGGCGGUUGGGGAUGGACUCGCGGCUUAUCAGCUUGUUGGUGGGGUAGUGGCUUACCAAGGCUUUGACGGGUAGCCGGCCUGAGAGGGUGACCGGCCACAUUGGGACUGAGAUACGGCCCAGACUCCUACGGGAGGCAGCAGUGGGGAAUAUUGCACAAUGGGCGGAAGCCUGAUGCAGCAACGCCGCGUGCGGGAUGACGGCCUUCGGGUUGUAAACCGCUUUCGCCUGUGACGAAGCGUGAGUGACGGUAAUGGGUAAAGAAGCACCGGCUAACUACGUG
Molecule: ribosomal RNA, 468 nt
Filed under: uncultured bacterium
Lineage: Bacteria
Description: partial 16S ribosomal RNA
Rfam family: Bacterial small subunit ribosomal RNA
Source: RNAcentral